GAUGAACGCUGGCGGCGUGCCUAAUACAUGCAGGUCGAGCGAACGGACGAGAAGCUUGCUUCUCUGAUGUUAGCGGCGGACGGGUGAGUAACACGUGGAUAACCUACCUAUAAGACUGGGAUAACUUCGGGAAACCGGAGCUAAUACCGGAUAAUAUUUUGAACCGCAUGGUUCAAAAGUGAAAGACGGUCUUGCUGUCACUUAUAGAUGGAUCCGCGCUGCAUUAGCUAGUUGGUAAGGUAACGGCUUACCAAGGCAACGAUGCAUAGCCGACCUGAGAGGGUGGUCGGCCACACUGGAACUGAGACACGGUCCAGACUCCUACGGGAGGCCGCAGUAGGGAAUCUUCCGCAAUGGGCGAAAGCCUGACGGAGCAACGCCGCGUGAGUGAUGAAGGUCUUCGGAUCGUAAAACUCUGUUAUUAGGGAAGAACAUAUGUGUAAGUAACUGUGCACAUCUUGACGGUACCUAAUCAGAAAGCCACGGCUAACUACGUG
RNAcentral lists this ribosomal RNA (497 nucleotides) under uncultured bacterium. RNAcentral describes it as "partial 16S ribosomal RNA". It matches the Rfam family "Bacterial small subunit ribosomal RNA", at positions 28 to 507 of the family's 1533-position model. The record is from RNAcentral.